RNAcentral lists this ribosomal RNA (443 nucleotides) under uncultured bacterium. RNAcentral's name for it is "partial 16S ribosomal RNA". It matches the Rfam family "Bacterial small subunit ribosomal RNA", at positions 338 to 795 of the family's 1533-position model. The record is from RNAcentral.
CCUACGGGAGGCUGCAGUGGGGAAUAUUGGACAAUGGGGGGAACCCUGAUCCAGCGACGCCGCGUGAGUGAAGAAGUAUUUCGGUAUGUAAAGCUCUAUCAGCAGGGAAGAAAGAAAUGACGGUACCUGACUAAGAAGCCUCGGCUAACUACGUGCCAGCAGCCGCGGGAAUACGUAGGGGGCAAGCGUUCUCCGGAUUUACUGGGUGUAAAGGGAGCGUAGACGGCGAUGCAAGUCUGAAGUGAAAGGCGGGGGCCCAACCCCCGGACUGCUUUGGAAACUGUAUGGCUGGAGUGCAGGAGAGGUAAGUGGAAUUCCUAGUGUAGCGGUGAAAUGCGUAGAUAUUAGGAGGAACACCAGUGGCGAAGGCGGCUUACUGGACUGUAACUGACGUUGAGGCUCGAAAGCGUGGGGAGCAAACAGGAUUAGAUACCCCUGUAGUC